This 146-nucleotide transfer-messenger RNA is filed under the name Alphaproteobacteria bacterium. RNAcentral's name for it is "partial transfer-messenger RNA". It matches the Rfam family "Alphaproteobacteria transfer-messenger RNA", at positions 169 to 355 of the family's 355-position model. Rfam says of the family: Bacterial tmRNA, also known as 10Sa RNA or SsrA, is named for its dual tRNA and mRNA-like properties. The record is from RNAcentral. Lineage: Bacteria; Pseudomonadati; Pseudomonadota; Alphaproteobacteria.
UGCGCGGUAAAGGUGUAUUUUUCGCCCGGCAUGAUACCACCGUUAUCGGGUCACAUUCACAAAUGCCAAUGACAACGAGGCAUUUGCAGUCGCCGCAUAGGUAACUGCGGGGUUCGGGGGGCACCUGGCAACAGAAGCCCCUCACU